AGAGUUUGAUCAUGGCUCAGAUUGAACGCUGGCGGCAUGCUUUACACAUGCAAGUCGAACGGCAGCGCGGGGCAACCUGGCGGCGAGUGGCGAACGGGUGAGUAAUAUAUCGGAACGUACCCAGAAGUGGGGGAUAACGUAGCGAAAGUUACGCUAAUACCGCAUACGAUCUACGGAUGAAAGUGGGGGACCUUCGGGCCUCAUGCUUGUGGAGCGGCCGAUAUCUGAUUAGCUAGUUGGUGAGGUAAAGGCUCACCAAGGCAACGAUCAGUAGCUGGUCUGAGAGGACGACCAGCCACACUGGGACUGAGACACGGCCCAGACUCCUACGGGAGGCAGCAGUGGGGAAUUUUGGACAAUGGGCGCAAGCCUGAUCCAGCAAUGCCGCGUGAGUGAAGAAGGCCUUCGGGUUGUAAAGCUCUUUUGUCAGGGAAGAAACGGCUGAGGUUAAUACCUUUGGCUAAUGACGGUACCUGAAGAAUAAGCACCGGCUAACUACGUGCCAGCAGCCGCGGUAAUACGUAGGGUGCAAGCGUUAAUCGGAAUUACUGGGCGUAAAGCGUGCGCAGGCGGUUUUGUAAGUCUGUCGUGAAAGCCCCGGGCUCAACCUGGGAAUUGCGAUGGAGACUGCAAGGCUUGAAUCUGGCAGAGGGGGGUAGAAUUCCACGUAGCAGUGAAAUGCGUAGAGAUGUGGAGGAACACCGAUGGCGAAGGCAGCCCCCUGGGUCAAGAUUGACGCUCAUGCACGAAAGCGUGGGGAGCAAACAGGAUUAGAUACCCUAGUAGUCC
RNAcentral lists this ribosomal RNA (789 nucleotides) under uncultured bacterium. Its description in RNAcentral is "bacterial SSU rRNA". It matches the Rfam family "Bacterial small subunit ribosomal RNA", at positions 8 to 796 of the family's 1533-position model. The record is from RNAcentral.